CCUCUAACUUCGGUCCCUGCUCCUCUUCCUCAAAGAAAAAAAAAUUCGGCUUCUUCUUUCUCCUUGAGUUCUAAACCUCCAAGAACUUCUCCACACCAAGAACUCCAGCUCAAUCAAAAUUCCCCUCUUUAAGUUCCCUAUUUCCUCUUUCUUCUUUGAACUCUCCACAACCAACCGAGCUUGUGAGGGUUUCGGCGAUUUUUUGAUUUGGACCUGAGCAUCAACAGGCUUCUUCUCCUCUUCAAGCUUCAGAACUUGGAUUAGCCAUGUCGACGAUUUGGACCGGCUGGAGCGCGAAUUCUGACGGUUACAAGAGUUGAAGACUGCCGGUACUUCAACGUACAUAGCCAUCCGGAUGGAAUCUCGUCUACAAGCAUGGCGCGACACUCGGGCUUCUACUGGACUUGAGAUUCAAACACAACAAAGUUGGGUGGAUCAAAUGGAGGCGUUGGUUAUCUUGGGGAUGGCGAAGGAUGACUUGGAGCGUUCACAAGUUGUGAUAUACGGAAAAUUGGAGCUCUCGAAACAGAAGUUAGCCAAGAUCAAACAAGAGGCUGCGAAAACAUUAUCCCUCACCGAGGAAUCCUUCAAGGUUGUAUUGCAGUGUGAGCUUGAGCGAACUUAUACAGAGGAAUUGACUAAACUUGAACAACAAGCCUGUAGUCACAAACUUCAUGUAGAUUGAUUGUAACUCUUGUACCUGCAAACUCAAUUUUAUUAAUAGAAAAUAUGUCUUUUUCAUUCAUUA
This is a long non-coding RNA of Asparagus officinalis (garden asparagus), 748 nucleotides long. RefSeq lists it as uncharacterized. The transcript is spliced from 2 exons. Lineage: Eukaryota; Viridiplantae; Streptophyta; Magnoliopsida; Asparagales; Asparagaceae. The record is from RefSeq and is a predicted model, not a curated record.